AGCAAAAGGAUUCCAAUCAACUCUCAUACAAACUGCGACCAUUAGUUCUCAGACAUGCAAGCAAUUGCCGAGGAUCAUGCCAUCAUUUCUUAAUGUGUGUUAGUGUAUACUUUUUUCACGCUGCUUUUCACGCAGAGUGUCCGAGUUCACCAAUAUAAUUCUGGAUCUGGAUUCCCGGCCGAGUCACCUGAUCCUUCUGACACCCCGUUGGACUUCUCUCCGUUUGCAAGCUGGGUUGGACAAUCCGUACUUGGAAAUCCCAGUUUGUUCCUGCAUGCUCCUCUAACCUGGCACUCUGGCACUGCGCUUUCUAUUCGCUAUAAGAUACACAUGAAAUUUCGCUCUGCGGGGCUCCUGCCUCCAUGCUAGUAGGAGGCCACACAGCAUACCCAGAGCUUUCGGGAUAGCUCCUCAGCCAAACCUGAAAGAGAAGCUCCUUUUUUUUGGUUCAAUUACUGCAGCGGGGGACAGAGCGCAGUGGGGAAGAAACUACCCCACAACCAUUUUAAACACUAGAAGCUCCGUUCUUCCUUUUUCAUCUCUUUCCGCGUUCAUCUCUCCCGCCCUUCCUACACUGCUCGCUGUAAGCGCCAUCUCACCAGCAGAGAGAACAGGAGAGAAGCGUUCUCAGCAGAGAGCAGAGAGCAGAAAGCUACAAGCUAUAUACCAUCGCGAGCCAUUGAACUUCCUAAUUCAGCUAUCGGCCUGAAGCGUGUUUUCAUUUCGUCCUACGAGCCGUGUCAUAAAUAUAUUCCAUGAGAAAAAUGGCAUCCAACGACCCGCCAGCUUUCUCCGAGCGCACGAUGAGCAUGGCGGAGCCGGGGAUGUUGUUCAUGGGAUCGGUGUAUCAAUUCACUGCUGUCUUUCUAGAGACAGUCUUUAGAAAGGGCGAUAUUCUAGCCCCUAUAUUUCGCCUGCAGGAGAUGCGCAGCGAGGCGUUUUCGAGAUUUUGGAUCAAUUUUACCAACGUCCGCGACGGCGCCGAAGGGCCCCCAGUCGGCUCAUCCGCGCUAAUCCCCCCCCUCCUCGCCACAGCCGAUGGCCUCGUCCUCGACGUCGGCCCCGGCACCGGCACGCAGACCCCGUUCUUCACCAACGCAAACCUAGUCCGCAUGUACGGCGCCGAGCCGUGCCAGGGACUGCACAAGGACCUCACGGCGAAGGUGGAGGCGUGCGGGCUGAGCGACAAGUACCAGAUCCUGCCGUGCUCGGCGGAGCGGAAGGAGCUGUACCCGGCGCUGGAGAGGGAGGGGUUGUUGGCGGAGA
Molecule: small RNA, 1266 nt
Filed under: Histoplasma capsulatum var. duboisii H88
Lineage: Eukaryota; Fungi; Ascomycota; Eurotiomycetes; Onygenales; Ajellomycetaceae
Description: Histoplasma capsulatum H88 hypothetical RNA
Source: RNAcentral